UACGAAGGGCGCUAGCGUUGUUCGGAAUCACUGGGCGUAAAGCGCACGUAGGCGGAUGUGUCAGUCAGGGGUGAAAUCCCGGAGCUCAACUUCGGAACUGCCCUUGAUACAGCACGUCUUGAGUCCGGAAGAGGUGGGUGGAAUUCCUGGUGUAGCGGUGAAAUGCGCAGAUAUCAGGAGGAACACCAGCGGCGAAGGCGGCGCUCUGGGCCGGUACUGACGCUGAGGAGCGAAAGCGUGGGUAGCAAACAGG
Molecule: ribosomal RNA, 253 nt
Filed under: uncultured bacterium
Lineage: Bacteria
Description: partial 16S ribosomal RNA
Rfam family: Bacterial small subunit ribosomal RNA
Source: RNAcentral